UCAAUAUUACUAAUGAGAGCGCCU
Molecule: non-coding RNA, 24 nt
Filed under: Arabidopsis thaliana (thale cress)
Lineage: Eukaryota; Viridiplantae; Streptophyta; Magnoliopsida; Brassicales; Brassicaceae
Source: RNAcentral